Molecule: ribosomal RNA, 774 nt
Filed under: uncultured Neocallimastigales
Lineage: Eukaryota; Fungi; Neocallimastigomycota; Neocallimastigomycetes; Neocallimastigales
Description: partial large subunit ribosomal RNA
Rfam family: Eukaryotic large subunit ribosomal RNA
Source: RNAcentral
ACACGCAUGACACACUGCAUAUCAAUAAGCGGAGGAAAAGAAACUAACAAGGAUUCCCCUAGUAACGGCGAGUGAAGCGGGAAGAGCUCAAAUUUGAAAUCUUCAAGGGUUUACCUUUACGAAUUGUAGUUUAAAGAAGUGUUUUCUGUUGGAGUCUUGGUAAAAGUUCUUUGGAAUAGGACAUCAUAGAGGGUGAGAAUCCCGUAUUUGACCAUUAUUUCAACUUUGUGAUACACUUUCAAAGAGUCGGAUUGUUUGGGAAUGCAGUCCAAAAUGGGUGGUAAAUUUCAUCUAAAGCUAAAUAUUGGCGAGAGACCGAUAGCGAACAAGUACCGUGAGGGAAAGAUGAAAAGAACUUUGAAGAGAGAGUUAGACAGUACGUGAAAUUGUCAAAAGGGAAGCGUUUGACACCAGUGUUGUUUUCUCGAAAAUCAAUUAAAAAUGGCGGGAUUUUGUGUUGUAUUGACUUUAUCAGCUUUCUGCACUUUUUUCCUGUCUUUUUUAAUGCACUUUUCGUUUAACAAGUCAACAUCAAUUUCUUUUGUUGUAAAAGGGUCAUUGGAAGGUGGCUUUCUUUUCGGAGAAAGUGUUUAUAGCCUUUGGCCUCUGCAAUCGGAGAGAUUGAGGUCUGCAGCGUAGAUCCUUCGGGGUUAGAUGCAUUUGUGCUAAGCUAUAGCCUUUCAUAGACAACUUGUUGACUAUGAUCAGUCAUGUAGCUUACUCGCUUAUGUCAUUUUACCUACGCUUAGGAUGUUGAGCGCAUGUCUCUCCUCU